UAGUCGCACGAGUUCAGACUCGUGGCGAAUAGCUCAGUAACACGUGGCCAAACUACCCUUCGGAGCUCCAUACCCUCGGGAAACUGAGGCUAAUAGAGCAUACCACAAUCCAGCUGGAAUGAGGAUUGUGUCAAACGCUCCGGCGCCGAAGGAUGUGGCUGCGGCCGAUUAGGUAGACGGUGGGGUAACGGCCCACCGUGCCAAUAAUCGGUACGGGUCAUGAGAGUGAGAACCCGGAGACGGAAUCUGAGACAAGAUUCCGGGCCCUACGGGGCGCAGCAGGCGCGAAACCUUUACACUGCACGCCAGUGCGAUAAGGGGAUCCCAAGUGCGCAGGCAUAGAGCCUGCGCUUUUGUACACCGUAGGGAGGUGUACGAAUAAGGGCUGGGCAAGACCGGUGCCAGCCGCCGCGGUAAUACCGGCAGCCCGAGUGAUGGCCGAUUUUAUUGGGCCUAAAGCGUCCGUAGCUGGCCGCGCAAGUCCAUCGGAAAAUCCACCCGCCCAACGGGUGGGCGUCCGGUGGAAACUGCGUGGCUUGGGACCGGAAGGCGCGACGGGUACGUCCGGGGUAGGAGUGAAAUCCCGUAAUCCUGGACGGACCGCCGAUGGCGAAAGCACGUCGCGAGGACGGAUCCGACAGUGAGGGACGAAAGCCAGGGUCUCGAACCGGAUUAGAUACCCGGGUAGUCCUGGCCGUAAACAAUGUCUGUUAGGUGUGGCUCCCACUACGAGUGGGUGCUGUGCCGUAGGGAAGCCGCUAAACAGACCGCCUGGGAAGUACGUCC
This 786-nucleotide ribosomal RNA is filed under the name Halorubrum sp. Its description in RNAcentral is "bacterial SSU rRNA". It matches the Rfam family "Archaeal small subunit ribosomal RNA", at positions 55 to 842 of the family's 1478-position model. The record is from RNAcentral. Lineage: Archaea; Methanobacteriati; Methanobacteriota; Halobacteria; Halobacteriales; Haloferacaceae.